GCAGUAGGAUAGGCGAAGCGUGCGAUUGGAUUGCACGUCUAAGCAGUAAGGCUGAGUAUUAGGCAAAUCCGGUACUCGUUAAGGCUGAGCUGUGAUGGGGAGAAGACAUUGAGUCUUCGAGUCGUUGAUUUCACACUGCCGAGAAAAGCCUCUAGAUAGAAAAUAGGUGCCCGUACCGCAAACCGACACAGGUAGUCAAGAUGAGAAUUCUAAGGUGAGCGAGCGAACUCUCGUUAAGGAACUCGGCAAAAUGACCCCGUAACUUCGGGAGAAGGGGUGCUCUUUAGGGUUAACGCCCAGAAGAGCCGCAGUGAAUAGGCCCAAGCGACUGUUUAUCAAAAACACAGGUCUCUGCUAAACCGUAAGGUGAUGUAUAGGGGCUGACGCCUGCCCGGUGCUGGAAGGUUAAGAGGAGUGGUUAGCUUCUGCGAAGCUACGAAUCGAAGCCCCAGUAAACGGCGGCCGUAACUAUAACGGUCCUAAGGUAGCGAAAUUCCUUGUCGGGUAAGUUCCGACCCGCACGAAAGGCGUAACGAUUUGGGCACUGUCUCAACGAGAGACUCGGUGAAAUCAUAGUACCUGUGAAGAUGCAGGUUACCCGCGACAGGACGGAAAGACCCCGUGGAGCUUUACUGUAGCCUGAUAUUGAAAUUCGGCACAGCUUGUACAGGAUAGGUAGGAGCCUUUGAAACGUGAGCGCUAGCUUACAUGGAGGCGCUGGUGGGAUACUACCCUAGCUGUGUUGGCUUUCUAACCCGCACCACUUAUCGUGGUGGGAGACAGUGUCAGGCGGGCAGUUUGACUGGGGCGGUCGCCUCCUAAAAGGUAACGGAGGCGCUCAAAGGUUCCCUCAGAAUGGUUGGAAAUCAUUCAUAGAGUGUAAAGGCAUAAGGGAGCUUGACUGCGAGACCUACAAGUCGAGCAGGGUCGAAAGACGGACUUAGUGAUCCGGUGGUUCCGCAUGGAAGGGCCAUCGCUCAACGGAUAAAAGCUACCCCGGGGAUAACAGGCUUAUCUCCCCCAAGAGUUCACAUCGACGGGGAGGUUUGGCACCUCGAUGUCGGCUCAUCGCAUCCUGGGGCUGUAGUCGGUCCCAAGGGUUGGGCUGUUCGCCCAUUAAAGCGGUACGCGAGCUGGGUUCAGAACGUCGUGAGACAGUUCGGUCCCUAUCCGUCGUGGGCGUAGGAAAUUUGAGAGGAGCUGUCCUUAGUACGAGAGGACCGGGAUGGACAUACCUCUGGUGUACCAGUUGUCGUGCCAACGGCAUAGCUGGGUAGCUAUGUGUGGACGGGAUAAGUGCUG
This 1302-nucleotide ribosomal RNA is filed under the name Staphylococcus aureus. RNAcentral's name for it is "partial 23S ribosomal RNA". It matches the Rfam family "Bacterial large subunit ribosomal RNA", at positions 1474 to 2773 of the family's 2925-position model. The record is from RNAcentral. Lineage: Bacteria; Bacillati; Bacillota; Bacilli; Caryophanales; Staphylococcaceae.